Molecule: transfer RNA, 74 nt
Filed under: Actinoplanes nipponensis
Lineage: Bacteria; Bacillati; Actinomycetota; Actinomycetes; Micromonosporales; Micromonosporaceae
Description: tRNA-Leu
Source: RNAcentral
UCGGUGUCCUGCUUGGGGAAGAGCGCGCUCAGGUCGCGCCCGACCAUCCGCCGGAUCAUGUCGUCGACGCUGAG